This 503-nucleotide ribosomal RNA is filed under the name uncultured bacterium. Its description in RNAcentral is "partial 16S ribosomal RNA". It matches the Rfam family "Bacterial small subunit ribosomal RNA", at positions 30 to 523 of the family's 1533-position model. The record is from RNAcentral.
AUUGAACGCUGGCGGCAGGCUUAACACAUGCAAGUCGAGCGGGGUGAUGGUGCUUGCACUAUCACUUAGCGGCGGAAGGGUGAGUAAUGCUUAGGAAUCUGCCUAUUAGUGGGGGACAACAUCUCGAAAGGGAUGCUAAUACCGCAUACGUCCUACGGUCGAAAGCAGGGGAUCACUUGUGACCUUGCGCUAAUAGAUGAGCCUAAGUCGGAUUAGCUAGUUGGUGGGGUAAAGGCCUACCAAGGCGACGAUCGGUAGCGGGUCGGAGAGGAUGGUCCGUCACACUGGGACUGGGACACGGCCCAGACUCCUACGGGAGGCAGCAGUGGGGAAUAAUGGACAAUGGGGGGAACCCUGAUCCAGCCAUGCCGCGUGUGUGAAGAAGGCCUUAUGGUUGUAAAGCACUUUAAGCGAGGAGGAGGCUCUUUUGGUUAAUACCCAAGAUGAGUGGACGUUACUCGCAGAAUAAGCACCGGCUAACUCUGUGCCAGCCGCCGCGGUAA